AUUGAACGCUGGCGGAAUGCUUUACACAUGCAAGUCGAGCGGCAGCAUGGGUGCUUGCACCUGAUGGCGAGCGGCGAACGGGUGAGUAAUGCAUCGGAACGUACCCAGUCGUGGGGGAUAACUACUCGAAAGAGUGGCUAAUACCGCAUACGUCCUGAGGGAGAAAGUGGGGGACCGCAAGGCCUCACGCGAUUGGAGCGGCCGAUGUCUGAUUAGCUGGUUGGUGGGGUAAAGGCCUACCAAGGCGACGAUCAGUAGCUGGUUUGAGAGGACGACCAGCCACACUGGGACUGAGACACGGCCCAGACUCCUACGGGAGGCAGCAGUGGGGAAUUUUGGACAAUGGGCGCAAGCCUGAUCCAGCCAUUCCGCGUGAGUGAAGAAGGCCUCGGUUGUAAGACUCUUCGUCAGGAGAACGGAACGUAGGGAGUAAUACCUACGUUAAUUAGUACGGUACCGUCGAAGAAGAAGACACCGGCGUAACUACGU
This 489-nucleotide ribosomal RNA is filed under the name uncultured bacterium. Its description in RNAcentral is "bacterial SSU rRNA". It matches the Rfam family "Bacterial small subunit ribosomal RNA", at positions 30 to 506 of the family's 1533-position model. The record is from RNAcentral.